GAAUGUGGAGCUUGGUGACAAGACUGACAGACAAGUGGCAGUGUUGCUAUCAAUGCUCCGCAUUCGC
Molecule: microRNA precursor, 67 nt
Filed under: Echinococcus granulosus
Lineage: Eukaryota; Metazoa; Platyhelminthes; Cestoda; Cyclophyllidea; Taeniidae
Description: microRNA egr-mir-10227b precursor
Source: miRBase by way of RNAcentral